RNA transcript from Tripterygium wilfordii, 1195 nucleotides. It is a transcript of the gene named glutathione S-transferase zeta class-like, with no coding region annotated. The record is from RefSeq and is a predicted model, not a curated record. Lineage: Eukaryota; Viridiplantae; Streptophyta; Magnoliopsida; Celastrales; Celastraceae. The transcript has 11 exons.
UAUUAUUAAUAAUUGCUAGCAAUAAACCACUUGUACGGUUGGCUCACCGUUUUCCCGGGUCGUCGGCAGUCUGGUUCGCUCCUGAAAACUAUACAGGCAGCUGCUGUAAAUUUGUCAGAACCAGAUUAGUCGUAGCCUUCACAAGAAGUGUAGAAAACUAGAAACGGAAUUGCUUUUCUGAUUCUGAACGACCUCUGGUGGUGGACGCCAUGUCAACGAGUAAGCUGAAAUUGUAUUCAUAUUGGUGGAGCUCCUGCUCAUGUCGGGUGCGAAUUGGUCUCAACUUGAAAGGACUCGGCUAUGAUUACAUUGCUGUCAACAUGCGCAAUGGAGAGCAUUACAGUGAUGAGUUUAAAAAGCUCAAUCCUAUUAGCUAUGUACCCGUACUGGUUGAUGGUGACAUUGUGGUUUCCGACUCAUUUGCCAUUCUAAUGUAUUUGGAAGAAAACUAUCCUCAACACUCAUUGUUGCCUAGAGAUCCAAAGAAAAGAGCUAUCAAUUACCAGGCAGUAAAUAUUGUUUCCUCAAGCAUACAGCCUUUUCAGAAUUCGGGGAACCGGAAGUUCAUAGAGGGAAAAAUAAGUUCAGAAGUGCAAAAUAACUGGGUCAAGAAUCAUAUUGAGAGAGGCUUUACUGCACUAGAGAAGCUGCUAAAAGACUAUGCUGGAAAAUAUGCUACUGGAGAUGAAGCUCACUUGGCAGAUUUGUUUUUAGCGCCACAAAUUGAUGCGGCGAUCGAGAGGUUUAAUCUUGACAUGCUAAAUUUUUCGUAGGUCCUUUUUUAGAGCCUUGUGUGGAAAUGAGAAAAAAACUUACGAAGAAGAUAGGCGUAGUUCCAUCAUUAAUUACCAUGGAACAUGAUGGCUAAUAUCCUUCCAACCCAGUUCCCACUCCUACUCAGGCUACAUGAGGUAUACAGUGAGCACCCAGCAUUUCAAGAUGCUAUGCCAGAGAAGCAGCCAGAUGCGCCUUCUUCAAGAACUACUUGAAUGAAUGGUCUUAUUAGGUAUUUGAAUUGAUUGCAGAAUCCAAACCAGUUAUUUCCCGAUAUAUGUUAUGGUGCUUGAAAUAAAAAGUUUAUUUUUACCAUCAUUCUGGAAUGUUGGUUUACCCUGAACAUGAUAGCUAAUUUUCUCAGUAUGUUGGUUUUGUACCGCUUGUAGCAUAUCUACCCCGGCCACCCAUCCUGUCUCUU